This 468-nucleotide ribosomal RNA is filed under the name uncultured bacterium. Its description in RNAcentral is "partial 16S ribosomal RNA". It matches the Rfam family "Bacterial small subunit ribosomal RNA", at positions 28 to 507 of the family's 1533-position model. The record is from RNAcentral.
GACGAACGCUGGCGGCGUGCUUAACACAUGCAAGUCGAACGGAAAGGCCCUGCUUUUGUGGGGUGCUCGAGUGGCGAACGGGUGAGUAACACGUGAGUAACCUGCCCUUGACUUUGGGAUAACUUCAGGAAACUGGGGCUAAUACCGGAUAGGAGCUCCUGCUGCAUGGUGGGGGUUGGAAAGUUUCGGCGGUUGGGGAUGGACUCGCGGCUUAUCAGCUUGUUGGUGGGGUAGUGGCUUACCAAGGCUUUGACGGGUAGCCGGACUGAGAGGGUGAACGGCCACAUGGGGACUGAGAAACGGCCCAGACUCCUACGGGAGGCAGCAGUGGGGAAUAUUGCACAAUGGGCGGAAGCCUGAUGCAGCAACGCCGCGUGCGGGAUGACGGCCUUCGGGUUGUAAACCGCUUUAGCCUGUGACGAAGCGUGAGUGACGGUAAUGGGUAAAGAAGCACCGGCUAACUACGUG